RNAcentral lists this ribosomal RNA (260 nucleotides) under uncultured bacterium. RNAcentral's name for it is "partial 16S ribosomal RNA". It matches the Rfam family "Bacterial small subunit ribosomal RNA", at positions 793 to 1055 of the family's 1533-position model. The record is from RNAcentral.
GUCCACGCCCUAACUAUGUCAACUAGUUGUUGGGAGUUAAAUCCCUUAGUAACGCAGCUAACGCGUGAAGUUGACCGCCUGGGGAGUACGGUCGCAAGAUUAAAACUCAAAGGAAUUGACGGGGCCCGCACAAGCGGUGGAUGAUGUGGUUUAAUUCGAUGCAACGCGAAAACCUUACCUACCCUUGACAUGUACGGAAGUCUCCAGAGAUGGAGUCGUGCCCGAAAGGGACCGUAACACAGGUGCUGCAUGGCUGUCGU